GAUGAACGCUGGCGGCGUGCCUAAUACAUGCAAGUCGAGCGAACAGACGAGGAGCUUGCUCCUCUGACGUUAGCGGCGGACGGGUGAGUAACGCGUGGAUAACCUACCUAUAAGACUGGGAUAACUUCGGGAAACCGGAGCUAAUACCGGAUAAUAUAUUGAACCGCAUGGUUCAAUAGUGAAGGACGGUUUUGCUGUCACUUAUAGAUGGAUCCGCGCCGCAUUAGCUAGUUGGUAAGGUAACGGCUUACCAAGGCAACGAUGCGUAGCCGACCUGAGAGGGUGAUCGGCCACACUGGAACUGAGACACGGUCCAGACUCCUACGGGAGGCAGCAGUAGGGAAUCUUCCGCAAUGGGCGAAAGCUUGACGGAGCAACGCCGCGUGAGUGAUGAAGGUCUUCGGAUCGUAAAACUCUGUUAUUAGGGAAGAACAAAUGUGUAAGUAACUAUGCACGUCUUGACGGUACCUAAUCAGAAAGCCACGGCUAACUACGUG
RNAcentral lists this ribosomal RNA (497 nucleotides) under uncultured bacterium. RNAcentral's name for it is "partial 16S ribosomal RNA". It matches the Rfam family "Bacterial small subunit ribosomal RNA", at positions 28 to 507 of the family's 1533-position model. The record is from RNAcentral.